ACAGCCUCUUUACAAACUAACUUUGGGAACUCAGCCAACUUGUCCAUUGGAAACUGGAAUGAAAUGCUUUUCAUUUGUAUAGGGCUUUGUUCUUUCAAAAGCUCUCUUGGAUCCACUAUCUGGUCCAAUCCUCACAAUGACCCUGUUUCAGACCCAAGAAGCUUCCCUUUUGUUAUUGUGGCCAUAAAAGUUUCCCCUUUUUUUGGAGAGAUUACUUUAUCCGGAGAGAAGAUGUUUUCCCCAUAUUCAUAGAAACGAUGUCCAUCCUCUUCUCCUACAGAGACCCGAUGACAUAAUGAGGUGAUGUCUUGACUCGUGUAUGAAUUGUACUUUAGAGGAGCAGAUUUGCACAAAGCCAUUAGCAUCAUUCCUCCAGAGUCAUCAAAUCCAACGACAAGGCAGAAGUCAGGAUAAUUGAUGAUGGCCCAAGAGACAGUGAACAACCUUGACAUCUUCGAUUUCUGACCAAACUCUAGCACUCCAGAGCACCUGCUUCAGCCACCUUCAUGGGCAUUAGAACAAACUGACCUCAUCUGCCCCUUCCACUGCUGGACAAAGUCUUCACAUGCCUGGGGUGAACACCCACUAACUCACUGCCAGGGUUGAGCCCUGUUAGUUACCCUAAACCUGGUUUGGCCUGUCUACCUACAUGGCUUACCAAAGUGUGUGAUUCAGCUUCUUGGAGUCACAGGUGAGAGUUGAGUGCCACAAAGGUGGACAAGCGGCCAUGAAAAGGGGGCAAAUCCUCAUAUCAGAGGUGCUAGUGCUCCUUGAACACCCAUACACCCCACUUACCAAGAGUAAAGCAAAAGACACUACGACAAUAAAUCUGCUAUUCCCUUAGCA
RNAcentral lists this long non-coding RNA (846 nucleotides) under Monodelphis domestica (gray short-tailed opossum). Its description in RNAcentral is "lncRNA (ENSMODG00000035539.2)". Lineage: Eukaryota; Metazoa; Chordata; Mammalia; Didelphimorphia; Didelphidae. The record is from RNAcentral.